GACGUAGGGCGCGAGCGUUGUCCGGAUUUAUUGGGCGUAAAGAGCUCGUAGGCGGCUUGUCGCGUCGACUGUGAAAACCCACGGCUUAACUGUGGGCUUGCAGUCGAUACGGGCAGGCUAGAGUUCGGUAGGGGAGACUGGAAUUCCUGGUGUAGCGGUGAAAUGCGCAGAUAUCAGGAGGAACACCGGUGGCGAAGGCGGGUCUCUGGGCCGAUACUGACGCUGAGGAGCGAAAGCAUGGGGAGCGAACAGG
This 253-nucleotide ribosomal RNA is filed under the name uncultured bacterium. Its description in RNAcentral is "partial 16S ribosomal RNA". It matches the Rfam family "Bacterial small subunit ribosomal RNA", at positions 524 to 776 of the family's 1533-position model. The record is from RNAcentral.